GACGAACGCUGGCGGCGUGCUUAACACAUGCAAGUCGAACGGAAAGGCCCUGCUUUUGUGGGGUGCUCGAGUGGCGAACGGGUGAGUAACACGUGAGUAACCUGCCCUUGACUUUGGGAUAACUUCAGGAAACUGGGGCUAAUACCGGAUAGGAGCUCCUGCUGCAUGGUGGGGGUUGGAAAGUUUCGGCGGUUGGGGAUGGACUCGCGGCUUAUCAGCUUGUUGGUGGGGUAGUGGCUUACCAAGGCUUUGACGGGUAGCCGGCCUGAGAGGGUGACCGGCCACAUUGGGACUGAGAUACGGCCCAGACUCCUACGGGAGGCAGCAGUGGGGAAUAUUGCACAAUGGGCGGAAGCCGGAUGCAGCAACGCCGCGUGCGGGAUGACGGCUUUCGGGUUGUAAACCGCUUUCGCCUGUGACGAAGCGUGAGUGACGGUAAUGGGUAAAGAAGCACCGGCUAACUACGU
This 467-nucleotide ribosomal RNA is filed under the name uncultured bacterium. Its description in RNAcentral is "partial 16S ribosomal RNA". It matches the Rfam family "Bacterial small subunit ribosomal RNA", at positions 28 to 506 of the family's 1533-position model. The record is from RNAcentral.